Molecule: long non-coding RNA, 773 nt
Organism: Wasmannia auropunctata (little fire ant)
Lineage: Eukaryota; Metazoa; Arthropoda; Insecta; Hymenoptera; Formicidae
Exons: 2
Source: RefSeq, a predicted model, not a curated record
AUGAUGCUAAUAAGUUGCGCGAACAGCCGAAGAAAAGUCUGAAUUUGUGUAAAGCAAGAUUGGAGUGUUUCUGUUCCGUAAAAAAGAAAUCUUACAACUCAUGAAGAUCAGAGCUGAUCUUCACCGAUACGAGAGCAGAGCGCUGUAUUACCGGCAAACCUCGUAAACGACCAUAGCAGCAAGUGGGGAGUUCUCGAGGAGGAGGGAUAAACGAGCCGAGCCACGAUUUCGUUGUCGUAAACGUCAAAGUUACGGUUACAGCGUUGUUCCUAGCUGCUUUAUAUUGAACGAGGUUGCUCCCCGAGGUACGUAACACCUACCUACUCGCAACCGUCGUAUUGCAGAAAGUAGCACUAUGCUCCUUUCCAACUCGGGAGCGACGCGGGCACCACGUGGCUUUUACGCGGGAAUCCGGCAGAGGAAUUCAAGAUUUACACCAUAAAAGAGGUUCGUUCUCAAUAGACUGAAAUGAAGAGAUGCCUAAAUAGCAUCCCCAGCCUCUAUCGUCGCGCCCUCUAAUUACCCUGUAGACGCAGUCACCCCUCAAUGAGAAGUGAUAAAUAUUGUUCGCGUUUGAGUAUAUCCCGAGAAAGUGAAUGAGCUCUAUAAAGAAAGAUAUAUUUCUCAUUACUAUUGUAAGUAGAUUAUUUACUGAUAAAAUAACAUGUUGUUUCUAAUUUAAAAAUUUGAUAUUUUUUUACCAUUAAGUACAGAAUAAAUUACUUUCAGUAUUAGUACAAAUAAAAUAUUAGAAGAAGAAUUUAAAAUUUAAA